Rattus norvegicus (Norway rat) is the source of this 2801-nucleotide non-coding RNA. Lineage: Eukaryota; Metazoa; Chordata; Mammalia; Rodentia; Muridae. The record is from RefSeq and is a predicted model, not a curated record.
GGCCACUGUGGGGAGACACAGGGAGAGAAGAGUAAGUCAGGAUCAGGUGGCCGUGCUGUGUCCUCAGUGCUGGGCCCUCCUGCCCUCCCUAUUGGCUGCGCUCCACAUCCUUCAAUUCUUGGCCCUGGUAAUACCACAGGCCAUCCCAGAGAAAGCCUUUGUGGUGUAGUCAUACCAGUUACUCAGGUUUCUCAGUAGCCUCUCAGACUCCUGAUGGGCCCCAGCUUUACAGACUGGAUAAGCAGCCUAUAGGCAGACCCAGGGCCUUGUACAGACAUCCAGCCAGGGUAGGGCAUGGAGUAGUAUUUGGGAGUCCAGGGACCACAGUCUUCUGCAGUCACUGCCUCCUAUACUGCCGACCCUGUGGUCCCCUCAAAGAUGCUGAUGCACUUAGAGCAGAGGGAGAACUGAGGGAAGAGGUUGAGGAUGGGCUGGUGUGCUUUGCUGAAGGACUCUGGCCUCUCCAGGGAUUACACUCACCCUGACCCUUGCCCUUGACCUCCACUCACCUGGGGUUCUCCCCUCUGCCAAAGGACAUGGUCAUCUGUGUGUCUGUCUUUCAGGAGCAGAACAGAAACAUGAAGUGUGUGGCCGACUGGUACCAUUUUUCCUGUGUCUAAAAGGGGCCAGCCUGGUAGACCCAUCAUUCUAGACCCAGAACCCAGGUGACAGGUUCCGCCAUGUAACAGAAUGUCCAGAGGGAUCCUUUGACCCUUUCUGUGACACAAAGAAGCUCCACUGUACUUUUCUAGAAGACGCUCCCACCUCUUCCCUCCUCAAAUGCCCUGGAUGGAGACUUUGUUGUUCUACUGUAGGGAAACAAAUGGAGUAGGGUCCUGAUCUAAGAGGGCUGGGAUGCCUGGAGGACUGUGAGGGGACCUGAGAUGGCUCGACCAGACGGAGUUCCAACUGAACUUUCUUGGGAUGUCAGGAUCCUGGUGAAAUGAGGCACACCAGGACAGUGGGGCUCUGUCCCCACCUCACUCAACCCACAUAUCCCAGUGUUGGGAUAAGCACCCAAGAGCAACAAGAGCAUAGGGGUGGGGAGUUCAGGGUGGGAUGGACAUACGCCACCUUCCUUUGUUCAUAUUCUCUUGGCAGCUAUUUACAGCAGUCUAUACGGUAUCCUGGAACCAGUGUUCACAGCAUGGGCAGCGGACUCGUAUAGUACUGGGCCCCAUAGCUCUCAGCACUGACUACUCAUGAACUAUGUCUUCAUUGGGACCUUUUGAAGCAGUUACUAUUAUUAGCUCCAUUUUCUAGAUGGGAAAACCAAGGCAUAGGAAUACUCAGGGUUUCCAGAGACUUCAGCAGCUACAGCCAGGGGCAGUGGUUCAUUCCCCAGGAAGCCUCUUUCUUCUCUCUCUUCCUGCCUCAACACAGCCAGCACCCACAAGGGCCUCCAGCCCAGACUGCCAGAGAGACCACAGCUCCCUAACACCAUUGAGAGUGCUGACUGUGGAAUGGAGCUACAGAGAUGUCAUGGCCUGCAGACUCCCCCCUUCCCCCUCCCAGAGAGAGAAGAGGAAGCAGAAAGCAAAACAAAGCCUCGCUCCAUCUUCAAAGCCUCGGCCUGGCUCUGCAGAGGUCCUGCUGAUGCGAGCUGGCCAGGCUUAUCGAAACCUGACUUCAAGUUCAAAGGGAAGUUAUCAGACAAGCACCUCCAGGUUCAAUGUUGCCUUUCAUGUUCCACUUGAUAAGCCCCAAAGACAAGGAACCGCUGUUCCGUUCUCUCCUCUGGAGCAGUCUUGCUUCCAUGGUAGAGAGCACGGCUUCCUUCGGAUCCUCCCCUGCCCCUUCCUUUCUCCUCACCUGAGAUGGAAAGCACCCCCCUUUCUAUCCUCAUGUUUCCUCUCUAGAGAACGGAGUGCCUUAGACUGUCCUCUCUUCCCCAGCUCAUCUGUCAUGAUGUCCUAGCUCAUCAAGCCUCCAGGAUCCCCCUGGGUGGCCAUAUCAGUGAACAUUCAGAUCAUCCCAGCUAGACGGGGCAGAGCUGCACAGUGGGCCUGGGAAACAUGCUGCCAGGGCACACGUAGCUCAAUAGGACACAGCCUGGAAGUUACCUGCGACUCACUGCUCAGCUAACUGUGGAGUACCUAACCUGCUCGACCAUUCGCGGAGGCCACAGAAGAGAGGAAAUGCCAUUUCUACUUAAAAGCACUUCUUAGCCCAGAAGACAGCGAGAGGGGGCUGUGUUGUGGGCAUUCUUCUCUUUGGAAGCUGUUCUCUAUCCGUCCCACACUGAGGCCACGGCCACCAGAGCUGGCUGGCUGAUUUAGCAGAAGAUUCUCUCUAAGCGUCAGCUCCAGCCUGGCCGCACUCCACCCCCAGCCACUGCCAGAUUAAAUGCGUUACUUGACCGUCUUCACCCGGCUCCCUUUGAAGUUCCCUUCUCGAGCUUCAAAAUACCUUUUGGAGGGAGAUCAGACAGCAUUAAACAGAAUUACUAAUUAAUUAAGCAAAGUUAAAUUUUAAACACUGUUUGUUGUGUUAGCCAAAAGCCUGAACAGAACAGACUUCUUUCCUCCACUGAGAUCAAAGACAGCCUCUUUCCCUCUCCCCUCCCCCAGUUUAAAAAAGGGAAGGAGGAGGAGGAGGACGGAGAGGAGGAAGAAGAGAAAGGGAAGAGACUUGGGAACCAGGGAAAGGUGGCAACUGUGAUUAGAGCCUGGAUUCCCGAACCAUCCCAGGGACCAAUAGGAGGCACCUCUGGGAUCACAUGCUGGGAGAGGUCCUCAUCACUUUCUGGGGACUGUUUACCCUGGCAAACAGCAGUAACCUAGAGAGCAGCCUGGCACAGC